AUGUCCUCAGACUCAGGAAUGCAUUCCUUCCAGGACCAGCAGACAUCUGUCAUCAUCGGGUCUCCUUAGCAACCUUUGUGUUUUAUGUACCCACAAGUGACCGCUGACACAGUUCCCUUCUAGGAGCUACACACAGAGCUGCCAUUGCCGGGGGAUUAGAAAAUUUUGGUGCUGUUGUUAUUCUUCUCUCCUAACUCCCUGCCUGACCUCUCACUCUCUUUUUCUUCAGCAUGUCCAGGCUGCCCUCUCACCCUCACUAUCAGCCAAUGCUUUGGAAAACCAUCAUGAUCUGAAAAUCAGAUGUCCAGUGGUCUCACCCCUGCAAGAUUAAUUUCUCCAUUUCCUCAAUUAACACCAAUUGAUGAGCACUGAACCAGGUUUCAAACUGAAUAUAGUCAGUCCUCUGUAUCUGAAAAUUCCACAUUUAUGGAUUUUUAAAAAUUCCAGAAAGUUCCAUUUUAUACAAGGGACUUGAGAAUCUGCAGAUUUUAAUAUCCACAGAAAGUCCUGGAAGUAAUCUGCCAAGGAUACCAAGGGACAACUGUACAAGCAGAAGCAGAUUUGCCAUGAAGCUAAUGAAGGGUUCGUUCCUAUUGCCUUCUGGUUCUCCCAUCUGAGAACCAGCAUCGCCCAUCAUGUAAUUUUUCGACUGUUCCCCAACAGCGUGGAUGUGGGGACCAGCCUUCUGAAAUGCUGCUGCAAAGUUCUUUGUAGAGAAACGCACCUCCAUGUCUCAGCUCUCUGUAAUUCAAUAACUUUGAACAUUUUGGUUCACUUCAUUCUGAUUUUAGAAUCUAGAAAUGCAAUGGAAGACAUUUCAAAGCUGGGCAUUUGGUCUUCUGUUGCAAGAGCGCAGUAGCACCCCCAGAGAAAUAUUUUUCAAGGCUGCAGAG
Molecule: long non-coding RNA, 893 nt
Organism: Heterocephalus glaber (naked mole-rat)
Lineage: Eukaryota; Metazoa; Chordata; Mammalia; Rodentia; Bathyergidae
Source: Ensembl